RNAcentral lists this ribosomal RNA (330 nucleotides) under Austrosalomona sp. MCJ-2002. RNAcentral's name for it is "eukaryotic LSU rRNA". It matches the Rfam family "Eukaryotic large subunit ribosomal RNA", at positions 658 to 953 of the family's 3401-position model. The record is from RNAcentral. Lineage: Eukaryota; Metazoa; Arthropoda; Insecta; Orthoptera; Tettigoniidae.
AACACGGACCAAGGAGUCUAACAUGUGCGCGAGUCAUUGGGUUGAACUCUAAACCUAAAGGCGCAAUGAAAGUGAAGGUCCUGCUCCGGCGGACCGAGGGAAGCUGGGGCGCGCUACGGUGCACCCCCGCMUUCCCGGGGCGUCUCGUUCUCAUUGCGAGUUGAGGCGCACCCAGAGCGUACACGUUGGGACCCGAAAGAUGGUGAACUAUGCCUGGCCAGGACGAAGUCAGGGGAAACCCUGAUGGAGGUCCGUAGCGAUUCUGACGUGCAAAUCGAUCGUCGGAGCUGGGUAUAGGGGCGAAAGACUAAUCGAACCAUCUAGUAGCUG